RNAcentral lists this ribosomal RNA (483 nucleotides) under uncultured bacterium. Its description in RNAcentral is "partial 16S ribosomal RNA". It matches the Rfam family "Bacterial small subunit ribosomal RNA", at positions 30 to 507 of the family's 1533-position model. The record is from RNAcentral.
AUUGAACGCUGGCGGCAGGCCUAACACAUGCAAGUCGAGCGGAUGAAGGGAGCUUGCUCCUGGAUUCAGCGGCGGACGGGUGAGUAAUGCCUAGGAAUCUGCCUGGUAGUGGGGAUAACGUCCGGAAACGGGCGCUAAUACCGCAUACGUCCUGAGGGAGAAAGUGGGGGAUCUUCGGACCUCACGCUAUCAGAUGAGCCUAGGUCGGAUUAGCUAGUUGGUGGGGUAAAGGCCUACCAAGGCGACGAUCCGUAACUGGUCUGAGAGGAUGAUCAGUCACACUGGAACUGAGACACGGUCCAGACUCCUACGGGAGGAAGCAGUGGGGAAUAUUGGACAAUGGGCGAAAGCCUGAUCCAGCCAUGCCGCGUGUGUGAAGAAGGUCUUCGGAUUGUAAAGCACUUUAAGUUGGGAGGAAGGGAAGUAAGUUAAUAACUUGCUGUUUUGACGUUACCAACAGAAUAAGCACCGGCUAACUUCGUG